This 1011-nucleotide ribosomal RNA is filed under the name Bacillus pumilus. Its description in RNAcentral is "bacterial SSU rRNA". It matches the Rfam family "Bacterial small subunit ribosomal RNA", at positions 410 to 1414 of the family's 1533-position model. The record is from RNAcentral. Lineage: Bacteria; Bacillati; Bacillota; Bacilli; Caryophanales; Bacillaceae.
GAAGGUUUUCGGAUCGUAAAGCUCUGUUGUUAGGGAAGAACAAGUGCGAGAGUAACUGCUCGCACCUUGACGGUACCUAACCAGAAAGCCACGGCUAACUACGUGCCAGCAGCCGCGGUAAUACGUAGGUGGCAAGCGUUGUCCGGAAUUAUUGGGCGUAAAGGGCUCGCAGGCGGUUUCUUAAGUCUGAUGUGAAAGCCCCCGGCUCAACCGGGGAGGGUCAUUGGAAACUGGGAAACUUGAGUGCAGAAGAGGAGAGUGGAAUUCCACGUGUAGCGGUGAAAUGCGUAGAGAUGUGGAGGAACACCAGUGGCGAAGGCGACUCUCUGGUCUGUAACUGACGCUGAGGAGCGAAAGCGUGGGGAGCGAACAGGAUUAGAUACCCUGGUAGUCCACGCCGUAAACGAUGAGUGCUAAGUGUUAGGGGGUUUCCGCCCCUUAGUGCUGCAGCUAACGCAUUAAGCACUCCGCCUGGGGAGUACGGUCGCAAGACUGAAACUCAAAGGAAUUGACGGGGGCCCGCACAAGCGGUGGAGCAUGUGGUUUAAUUCGAAGCAACGCGAAGAACCUUACCAGGUCUUGACAUCCUCUGACAACCCUAGAGAUAGGGCUUUCCCUUCGGGGACAGAGUGACAGGUGGUGCAUGGUUGUCGUCAGCUCGUGUCGUGAGAUGUUGGGUUAAGUCCCGCAACGAGCGCAACCCUUGAUCUUAGUUGCCAGCAUUCAGUUGGGCACUCUAAGGUGACUGCCGGUGACAAACCGGAGGAAGGUGGGGAUGACGUCAAAUCAUCAUGCCCCUUAUGACCUGGGCUACACACGUGCUACAAUGGACAGAACAAAGGGCUGCAAGACCGCAAGGUUUAGCCAAUCCCAUAAAUCUGUUCUCAGUUCGGAUCGCAGUCUGCAACUCGACUGCGUGAAGCUGGAAUCGCUAGUAAUCGCGGAUCAGCAUGCCGCGGUGAAUACGUUCCCGGGCCUUGUACACACCGCCCGUCACACCACGAGAGUUUG